CCAUCGGUGGUUCAGUGGUAGAGUGCUCGCCUGCCACGCGGGCGGCCCGGGUUCGAUUCCGAUUCCCGGCCGACGCA
This 77-nucleotide transfer RNA is filed under the name Paragonimus westermani. RNAcentral's name for it is "tRNA-Gly". It matches the Rfam family "tRNA". Rfam says of the family: Transfer RNA (tRNA) molecules are approximately 80 nucleotides in length. Lineage: Eukaryota; Metazoa; Platyhelminthes; Trematoda; Plagiorchiida; Troglotrematidae. The record is from RNAcentral.